AUUCGUGUUUAAGGGAAAUUUCAGCGCAGGAGAGACAAUUUUUACCCGAGUCUCGUUCUACUGAACCUCAAGAUAAGAAAUUUUCUGAAUUAAAGUUAAUAACUGCAGGCUUUUAGAAGUCUCACGGUGGGCUCGACACGUCUCUGAAGAAAUCAUCACGUCAUUUCAUAGAUACCCUUUUCCAUCUUUUGAUCGACAAGAAAUUAUACCCACUGGAUAAUUUUGUUGACCUUAAAUCUCCAUCCAAAAUCCAGGCUUUUGCGACGAACGCUUCUUACGUUUCAUAUCAUGGGAAAAAAAAAAACAUUCUAUACGUUGAUAUCACAUUUUUGAUAAUUUGGAAUCAUCGCUCUAACUUUCGUAGCUCAUAUGAUUAAUGUUGAAAUGCCUAUUAUUCUAGGGUUGGUUGAAGCAGGAUUUUUCGAGCAGAAAUUAAAGCUCGCAAAAAGCAGUCAGAAAAAGAUUUAGGAUUCUUGAGGAUUGGAUCAUUGAAUGUGCGAGUGAAGAAAACAACUGAAGCAUUUAGCAAUUUUCUCGGUAAAAGCCAAAGCUCUGUAGAAAAAAUUCACAAAUCUUGGGGCUCAGCAGAUAAUAUUCAACAAGUAAGUAAGAAAAUUCAUAACUUUUAAUUAGGCGCCUGGCACCACUCGUUCUGCGGUAAUGUAUCAAAACUGCUAUUGUUCAGAGUGCGUAUGAAGUUUCAAGGGAACCGAUGGUUAUCUGCCAAACUGAAUGAACCAGUUUGGUUGAAAAUGAUCAGGUCAGGGGGAGGGGGAGCAAUAAAUUUUAUUUGCUUUAAUAUUUUUGCGUUAGGUAGCACAUGGUAUGUUCAUUGGAAAAACUGACUUUAUCUGCAACCAGCUAUC
Non-coding RNA from Bemisia tabaci, 866 nucleotides. NCBI's taxonomy places the organism in Eukaryota, Metazoa, Arthropoda, Insecta, Hemiptera, Aleyrodidae. The record is from RefSeq and is a predicted model, not a curated record.